RNAcentral lists this transfer RNA (62 nucleotides) under Ceratocombus sp. HL-2012. Its description in RNAcentral is "tRNA-His". Lineage: Eukaryota; Metazoa; Arthropoda; Insecta; Hemiptera; Ceratocombidae. The record is from RNAcentral.
GUUUAAGUAGUUUAAUUUAGAAUUUUAAUUUGUGGAGUUAGGGGAGUCUUGUGCCUUAAACA